This 269-nucleotide ribosomal RNA is filed under the name uncultured prokaryote. RNAcentral's name for it is "partial 16S ribosomal RNA". It matches the Rfam family "Bacterial small subunit ribosomal RNA", at positions 524 to 792 of the family's 1533-position model. The record is from RNAcentral.
UACGGAGGGUCCAAGCGUUAUCCGGAUUUAUUGGGUUUAAAGGGUGCUCAGGCGGGCCAUUAAGUCGGCGGUGAAAUUUUGCAGCUCAACUGUAAAAGUGCCUUCGAUACUGGUGGUCUUGAGUGUGGAUGAGGUAGGCGGAAUUUGUGGUGUAGCGGUGAAAUGCAUAGAUAUCACGAGGAACUCCGAUUGCUAAGGCAGCUUACUAAGCCAUAACUGACGCUCAAGCACGAAGGCGUGGGGAUCAAACAGGAUUAGAUACCCCUGUA